RNAcentral lists this ribosomal RNA (119 nucleotides) under Pteropus alecto (black flying fox). The record is from RNAcentral. Lineage: Eukaryota; Metazoa; Chordata; Mammalia; Chiroptera; Pteropodidae.
AGCUAUGGCCAUGCCACCCUGAACAAGCCGGAUCCCGUCUGAUCUCGGAAGCUAGGCAGGGUUGGGCCUGGUUAGUACUUGAAUGGGAGACCACCUAGGAAGACCGAGUGCUGUAGGCG